Solenopsis invicta (red fire ant) is the source of this 3735-nucleotide long non-coding RNA. RefSeq lists it as uncharacterized. Lineage: Eukaryota; Metazoa; Arthropoda; Insecta; Hymenoptera; Formicidae. The record is from RefSeq and is a predicted model, not a curated record. The transcript is spliced from 2 exons.
UUUUCAAUAGUUCUGUGUAAUAGUUCGUCCCAAUAAUCCGCGAAAAACUAUGACGAAUAAUCCAAUAGUUUUAUUAAUAGCUUUACUAAUAGUUACAAUAGUCCAUUUCCGUAAGGGUUGCUUUCUCUAUUGCGGGUUUCAAAGAAUUAAGAUUAUAGAAUUCAGAUUAAAUAUUGUUUUUAAAUCUAGCAUUAUUUCAAUGUCAAUGCAUAAGUUGAUAAAUAAAUAAGAAAAGAAUGAGAAUAGGAUAGAAGUUUUUAGAGAGUGGGAGAGAGAGAGGGGGGGGGGAGGGAAAGCAGCGCUUGAGCUGUCAGUUGAUCACUGCGAUUGCCUCACGUAAUCGCCCAUAUCAAACAGUAAGUUGCACCAGCCCUGCUUCUCCGCUAUACGCCCCUAAUUAUUGGAUAAUUAUUUCAUUUAUAAUUUACAAACAAAGCUUCGGACAAGUUUUUGCCAAAGGGAAAGUUGAUUCAGAAUAACCUCAGGAAUAUGUCUCUUCAAGGACAUGAGGUUAUUCUGAAUCAUCCUGUAUAUAGUAAAAAAUGACGUUAAUCAUAUACGGUUAAUAAUUGGAAAACUAUUUUAGCUAAAAUUUUGGGUACAUAUUGCAUGUAAAGAUUGCGAACUACUUUAGCACUAUCCGUACAAUACCAUGUGAAAAUAUAUUCCGCUUAGCAUCCCUUGGCAGAGAUCGAAACCCUACAGUUAACGUCAUUCCUGUGAUAUUUUGUGACUUCAACCCCUCUCCGUCGGGUGUAUGCGUGUGUGUGCAAAUAUAUAAUAUAAAUAUAAACGAAUUUGUAUCUUAUUCACAUUUUCAAAAUCUGGUGAUAAUGAUUCUCCAUUAAAGUAACCAUUUAUAUAUUUACUCGUUGAUAAAACGAAACAUGGAAGUUGAUGUUAUUAUUAGGUGUACUUGUGGAUGCAAAAUGAGUCUACGUUUUUGAAUAUUGCUUUCAAUACUUGUAUUUCUUUGAUCUCUUGGUAAAGCUCAAUUUCAAAAGAACAUUUCAAUGCUUGUUUAAUUUCUCGAUAAUUACUUUAAUAAAGAAUCAUUAUCAUUAGAUUUGGAAAGUGCAAACAAGAUGUGAAUUUGGUUAUUUUUAUAUUAUACACGCUCACACACAUACAUACAGCAGAGAAAAGGAAAGAGUUUGAUGUCACAAAAUAUCACAGAAGUGAUGAACUGUGAAGUUCCGAUCUCUGCCAAGGGAUGCUAGAUAGAUUAUAUCUUUACGUAAUGCAUUUUGAAUAGUGCAAAAUAAUCUGCAAUUUUUACAUGUAGUAUGUACCUACAACUUUAGCUAUAAAAUCAUAACUUUUAUUUAUUAACCAUACCGAUUAAUGUCAUUUUUUACAAUAUUUAAGUUUUUUUUGCAACGUUCUUACCACUUCUCGGAUAAAUAACUGUUUUUUCUUAUUAUUUGAGGACCCAAACAAUGAUUUUUUAAGAUUUAUUUAAGAGUGUCUUGAGGGCUAAAAUUGACACAUUUUAACACCUUCCUUUUUGUAUCACAUUAUAUUUUUCAGAAAAUUAAGAUCAAAUGUGACAAAUAACCUGUUAUUUGCACAUUUUUGAAAUAACUUUUUAAAUAAACCUGACGUGUUAAAAGCUUUCAAUAGAAAUUGAAUUAAAGCUUGAACCUUAUAUUUUAAGAUGAUCACAAUGAAAAUAAUGUUGCACCCGCUUAUUUUGAACGGUAAAAGAUUUUCGUUACGCGUGCGCUUGUAACUCUUCACUGCUUGGAGAAUUCUGGAAUUAUAUAACAAACAAGCCAAACUAUAUUUUUUAUCGGAUUAACUUUCUUAAUUUUAAAUUAAAGUAGGUUAAAUUUUAGAAAGUAAAAUCUGAUUUUAAUUUAUUUGUUUAUUUAUUAAAGCUUUUUAACUACAAUUGUAAUAAACUUUAUUUUCUGGAAAGAAAAUAUGACAUUUUCUGUUUAGAAACAGUUAAAAAUUAAUUUAACAAGGGGAAAUCCAAAUCUGAUCCCACAACAAAUGUUGCUAAAUUUUAAAUACGACAUAGUAUUUCCUCUCACCCCUCACACUAUUACACAGUACAAUAACUGUUGCCAAUAUGCGAUAGUUAAUUAACAAUCGUUUAAAGUUUACCGUGCCUAUUAUACCAAGCCGUUAGAGAUCAUUAUCGUACACCCAAGGACUUUGAUUUUGUCCAUGGGGAAAUUUUCCAAAUUGAGAAGUCACCACUUUCUACAUACUCGCAGUUCAUGAUUAAUGAAACGACUAGAGCUUAUUGGUCGUUACGUUAAUCAUGAACUGUAAGUAUGUAGAAAAAUAACGACUUCUCAGUUUAAAAAAUUUCCCCAUGGACAGAAUCAAAGUCCUUGGGUGUACAUUAUACAGUUGAGCGAGUAAGGUACCCGACUACAAUAACAACAAUAACAACUUCAUACAAAUCAAACAUGAAUCUAUUAAUUCAAAUUUUGGGAUACUUCAUAAUUUAAUUGAAAAGCAGGAAAUAGAAAAAUAGAAGCCAAUCAGAACUUGCGCUAGUAGUGGAAAAUCAGAAUGUAUUGUUUCCUAUUAGCAUGAGAUCUGAUUGGCUUCUGCUCUUCUGUUUUAUGCUUUCCUAUAGUAUGAAAUCCCCCUUAUUCGUACUUGGUUUGUUAAUCGACAAUUUUAUACAAGUUAAGCAAUAUAAACCAACAAAUAAAAUUGAAUCAUCAGAAGUUAACCAUACUCUAGGGCCGAAACUAAAAAGGUAAUAUUUACCCAUAAAAAUUUAAUUCAACAUAACUUAUAUAAUUUGUCAAAUAAUUUUGAUAUAUCGUACAUCAUUGUACUCAUUAGAAAAAACACUACAACUUUCAUUAUAUAGAAAUAUUAACUUUAUCAUGUCCGCUGCCAAAAUUGCGUGUCCGCGGAAAUUUUUAAUAUAUUUAACGUUUUUAAUAUAUUUCUUCCUGUCAAACAAUAUUAUUGAUUAUAUUAUUAUAUUUAUAUUAUUGCAAAUCACUCCUAUAUUUUAAGUGCCAUAAUAAAAAUUACAGAUAAUUAUAAAUUUUAACAGCUGUUUUAUGCAAUUUUUGCACAGAUCGAAAAACUGCAUAAAGAGCAUAUUAAUGUAAGUUGUGUAAAAAAACUAAAAAUAUCUUUUAUAUUUGUUAUAUUUUUUUCCAAUACCAGUCAUGUUUUUACAAGAAUAAAAAAAUUAAAAAUUUACGAUUAACUAGUUUUUAGUUUUGUCCUUGCUGUCAUUCUUUGAAAUUUGAGUAUUUCAACUCCGGCAAACAUUAAUUUGAGGUUAGAACAAUAUUCUACAGCUUUGUUUAAGUCCACUUUGACCACGACUUGGCAAAGAUCGUCUUAUUCGGUUGUAUAUACGUCAUAUAAGACGUCUUAUUACGACUAUGAAUUUAUGACUAAUAAGAUAGUCUUAAGUCUGUUCUUAUUUCGAAUAAGAGCUGUCUAUGAAUCAUGUCGAGACCAAACAAGACAUUUCCAAACAAGAUUGUCUUGGACAAGUCUUGACUUGAGAUAUUACUCAAGCAUUUGCUUGAUUUCUAACUAUGAAUCUAGAGGGCAACUUAAGACCGUACUUAAGACAAUCUUGAAAAUAAGUAACGAUUAUGAAUACAGGCCUAUGAGGUAUUUUUGAUUAACUCAAGGUGUCUAAAGUUGUAAAUUGAUGUGUUCGAUAAUAUAUUUCGGACUCUACGCAAAAGUCUUCUCUUUCACGGCACUAUAGUAUUUUAACUUUAGACAGAGUAACUU